UUGUGGAGGAGGACGCCGAAGGUGGGGCUAAUGACUGGGGUGAAGUCGUAACAAGGUAGCCGUACCGGAAGGUGCGGCUGGAUCACCUCCUAACAGGGAGACAACAAAAUGUAAAUAUUAAUUUUGUCACCUUAGGUCGAUCGGUAUCUCAGAUUCUUCUUUUAUAAGAAUUUCAGUUUCUAAGUUUUUUCUAGGUCACACCCAUCACUUUUUCCUGGGCCAUUAGCUCAGGUGGUUAGAGCGCACCCCUGAUAAGGGUGAGGUCCCUGGUUCAAGUCCAGGAUGGCCCAUAUCUCUAUGUUGGGGGUAUAGCUCAGUUGGUAGAGCGCCUGCUUUGCAAGCAGGAUGUCAGCGGUUCGAGUCCGCUUACCUCCACUGAAUACCACCUCUUACAUAUAUUUAAAGAGGGAAAUUGUUGUUAGUCGUGUCCUAAUUUGCUCUGAGCGAAUCUAGCUUCCUAUUUUAUUCAAUAAAUAAGAUGCUGGACUCAUUGAAUUUUUUUCAUUGUUUUCAGAGAACCUUGACAACUGCAUAGAUUAUUUUUGAAGACAAUAAGCAUCUUUAAUGAUGCAGAUUUAUUAUUUGUGCGAAUGCAUUAAAUAACAAUUCUAUUAAGCUGAUGCUUCAAUUAUUGAAGUUAUUGGUCAAGCUACAA
Molecule: unclassified non-coding RNA, 655 nt
Filed under: uncultured Prochlorococcus sp.
Lineage: Bacteria; Bacillati; Cyanobacteriota; Cyanophyceae; Synechococcales; Prochlorococcaceae
Description: partial 16S-23S ribosomal RNA intergenic spacer; may also contain 16S ribosomal RNA and 23S ribosomal RNA
Rfam family: tRNA (bases 303-375)
Source: RNAcentral